UUUUCAUAAUUUAUACACCUUGUCACUUUACAUCAUUGGUUAUUUGCUCCUAAGGUUUUCCUCUACCCUAGCAAAGCUAACCACCCGACUCGGUCUCGAGUCAAUCAUCUGCGGAAUACCGCAUACAUCCAGGCUCGAGGUAAUGGACGUCUCACAUACACCUCAGCCCCAAAUCCACUCGACAGGAAUACUCAAUCUAUAGCUCAUAAUGCUUAAUAUACAUCCACUUGGCUUUUACCCAAUUGCACUGAGGUUCACCUAGUUCCCCUCGAACUCACAAUCCAAAAUCCCGUCAUAGCAGGGGGCCUCGAACCACCCCUAGGGACCGUCUUUAGGGACCUCGCUCCCGUGGUGACAAUUCCGGAAUGCACCGCUUGAGGGGGAGCUACCGCCCUCAAGCCAAGACU
RNAcentral lists this long non-coding RNA (407 nucleotides) under Ananas comosus (pineapple). Its description in RNAcentral is "long non-coding RNA (ACOM_LNC035886)". Lineage: Eukaryota; Viridiplantae; Streptophyta; Magnoliopsida; Poales; Bromeliaceae. The record is from RNAcentral.